CCUACGGGUGGCUGCAGUGGGGAAUAUUGGACAAUGGGGGCAACCCUGAUCCAGCCAUGCCGCGUGUGUGAAGAAGGCCCUCGGGUUGUAAAGCACUUUCAGUGAGGAAGAACGCCUGGUGGUUAAUACCCAUCAGGAAAGACAUCACUCACAGAAGAAGCACCGGCUAACUCCGUGCCAGCAGCCGCGGUAAUACGGAGGGUGCGUGCGUUAAUCGGAAUUACUUGGCGUAAAGCGCGCGUAGGUGGCUUGAUAAGCCGGUUGUGAAAGCCCCGGGCUCAACCUGGGAACGGCAUCCGGAACUGUCAAGCUAGAGUGCAGGAGAGGAAGGUAGAAUUCCCGGUGUAGCGGUGAAAUGCGUAGAGAUCGGGAGGAAUACCAGUGGCGAAGGCGGCCUUCUGGACUGACACUGACACUGAGGUGCGAAAGCGUGGGUAGCAAACAGGAUUAGAUACCCUUGUAGUC
Molecule: ribosomal RNA, 465 nt
Filed under: Vreelandella stevensii
Lineage: Bacteria; Pseudomonadati; Pseudomonadota; Gammaproteobacteria; Oceanospirillales; Halomonadaceae
Description: partial 16S ribosomal RNA
Rfam family: Bacterial small subunit ribosomal RNA
Source: RNAcentral